Molecule: ribosomal RNA, 279 nt
Filed under: uncultured bacterium
Lineage: Bacteria
Description: partial 16S ribosomal RNA
Rfam family: Bacterial small subunit ribosomal RNA
Source: RNAcentral
UGCCAGCCGCCGCGGUAAUACGGAGGGUGCAAGCAUUAAUCGGAUUUAUUGGGCGUAAAGCGCGUGUAGGCGGCUCUGUAAGUCGGAUGUGAAAUCCCGUGGCUCAACCAUGGAAGUGCACCCGAAACUGCAGGGCUAGAGUAUCGGAGAGGAAGGUGGAAUGCUUGGUGUAGAGGUGAAAUUCGUAGAUAUCAAGCGGAACACCGGUGGCGAAGGCGGCCUUCUGGACGAUUACUGACGCUGAGACGCGAAAGCGUGGGUAGCAAACAGGAUUAGAUA